AAGAAUCCAGACCGCCGUCUAAGGUCCCUNAGUUCUGUCUAAGUUAGUCUAACGAAGUGUGGUCCCCGUGACAGCUAGGAUGUUGGCUUGGAAGCAGCCAUUCAUUCAAAGAGUGCGUAGCAGCUCACUAGUCGAGGGUCCGCGCAUGGAUAAUAAUCGGGUAUAAGACAGACACCGAAGACGCGGGAUAGCAUUAGAAAAAGUAUCGGUAGGGGAGCAUACCGUCGGCCUUGAAGCUGAAGGAACGACCUUCAGUGGAGCUUACGGUAAAGCAAAUGUAGGUAUAAGUAACGAUAAGGAGGGUAAGAUCCCCUCCCGCCGAAAGACCAAGGUUUCCCGGGCAAUGCCAAUCAGCCCGGGGUUAGUCGGGUCCUAAGUGUAAGCCGACAGGCGAUCGCGAUGGCAGACACGGUUAAUAUUCCGUGACUACCUUAUGAGGCGAUGUGCUGACGGAGUCGUGACACCACCGCGGGGUGACGGAAAUCCCCGUUGACGCAUGUAGGCUAUGAGGAUGGCAGGCAAAUCCACCAUCCGAGCUGAAUUGCCAUAGUAUGGCCUCGUCCUCGGACAAGGCCAAUAGUGUGGGUAAUCAUACUCCCGAGAAAAUGCGCUAAGCUCAACUCAUAAGGUACCCGUACCUCAAACGGACACACGUGGUCGGGAAGAAUAUUCUAAGGCGUUGAGAGAUUCAUGGUUAAGGAACUAGGCAAAUUGACCCUGUAACUUCGGGAUAAAGGGUCCUCUCCUCCGGGAGAGGCGCAGAGAAUAGGUCCAGGCAACUGUUUAACAAAAACACAGGGCUGUGCAAACUCGAAAGAUGAAGUAUACAGCCUGACUCCUGCCCGGUGCCGGAAGGUUAAGAGGAGUUGUCAGCCAUUUAGGUGAAGCAAUGAAUUGAAGCCCCGGUAAACGGCGGCCGUAACUAUAACGGUCCUAAGGUAGCGAAAUUCCUUGUCGGGUAAGUUCCGACCUGCACGAAUGGAGUAAUGAUCCGGACGCUGUCUCAGCCGUGAGCUCAGUGAAAUUGUAGUGGCGGUGAAGAUGCCGCCUACCCGCAACGGGACGAAAAGACCCCGUGAACCUUUACUAUAGCUUAGCGCUGAUCUUUGCUAGAUGAUGUGUAGGAUAGGUGGGAGACUGUGAAGCGGUAACGCUAGUUAUCGUGGAGUCGCCGUUGAAAUACCACCCUUCGUCUAGCGGGGGUCUAACCAGGAGACUGGGACACCGCUUGGUGGGUAGUUUGACUGGGGUGGUCGCCUCCAAAAGCGUAACGGAGGCUUCCCAAGGUCCGCUCAGAACGAAUGGCAACCGUUCGCAGAGUGCAGUGGCAAAAGCGGGCUUGACUGGGAGACAUACAAGUCGAGCAGGUGCGAAAGCAGGGCAAAGUGAUCCGGUGGUUCCUCAUGGGAGGGCCAUCGCUCAAGGAUAAAAGGUACUCCGGGGGAUAACAGGCUGAUCGCUCCCAAGAGCUCAAAUCGACGGAGCGGUUGGCACCUCGAUGUCGGCUCGUCACAUCCUGGGGCUGGAGCAGGUUCCAAGGGUUCGGCUGUUCGCCGAUUAAAGUGGCACCGCGAGCUGGGUUCA
This 1584-nucleotide ribosomal RNA is filed under the name wallaby gut metagenome. RNAcentral's name for it is "bacterial LSU rRNA". It matches the Rfam family "Bacterial large subunit ribosomal RNA", at positions 1021 to 2613 of the family's 2925-position model. The record is from RNAcentral.